GCUAUUGGAGUUCGAUUAAGCCAUGCGAGUCGAGAGUCCUCGGGACUCGGCGUACCGCUCAGUAACACGUGGGUAACCUGCCCUAUGCUGGGGAAUAACCUCGGGAAACUGAGAAUAAUGCCCCAUAGCCCACUACGCCUGGAACGGUGAGUGGGUCAAAGCCCCGGCGGCAUAGGAUGGGCCUGCGCCGUAUCAGGUUGUAGGGGGUGUAAAGUACCCUCUAGCCAUCAACGCGUACGGGUGUUGGGAGACAUUGCCCGGAGAUGGAUUCUGAGACACGAAUCCAGACCCUACGGGGUGCAGCAGGCGCGAAAACUUGGCAAUGCGAGCAAUCGUGACCAGGGAACUCCAAGUGCGUAGGGUAAGACCUACGCUUUUCUUGACUCUUCAAAGGUCUUGGAAUAAGGGGUGGGUAAGGACGGUGCCAGCCGCCGCGGUAAUACCGGCGCCUCAAGUGGUAGUCGCUUUUAUUGGGCCUAAAACGUCCGUAGCCGGUCUGGUGCAUUCGUGGGUAAAUCAACCCGCUCAACGGGUUGAAUUCUGCGAGCACGGCCAGACUUGGGACCGGGAGGGGUGUGGGGUACUCUCAGGGUAGGGGUAAAAUCCUGUCAUCCUGAGAGGACCACCUGUUGCGAAGGCGCCACACUAGAACGGAUCCGACGGUCAGGGACGAAACCUAGGGGCACGAACCGGAUUAGAUACCCGGGUAGUCCUAGGUGUAAACGCUGUGGACUUGAUGUUGGGGGCGCUCCGAGCGCUCUCAGUGUCGAAGCGAAGGUGAUAAGUCCACUGCCUGGGGAGUACGGUCGCAAGGCUGAAACUUAAAGGAAUUGGCGGGGGAGCACUGC
RNAcentral lists this ribosomal RNA (848 nucleotides) under uncultured archaeon. Its description in RNAcentral is "bacterial SSU rRNA". It matches the Rfam family "Archaeal small subunit ribosomal RNA", at positions 29 to 882 of the family's 1478-position model. The record is from RNAcentral.